RNAcentral lists this long non-coding RNA (272 nucleotides) under Nicotiana benthamiana. RNAcentral describes it as "long non-coding RNA (NBEN_LNC001515)". The record is from RNAcentral. Lineage: Eukaryota; Viridiplantae; Streptophyta; Magnoliopsida; Solanales; Solanaceae.
UAGUUUCAUAUUUAGGAGCUACUCUUUUUUUGAAUGCAUCAGGUGAUCAAGCUACGGGUGGGUAAAGAGCAACCUAAUAUGCAGGUGUUUCCUGCUGAGCAAGAGAAAGGAACCAGAACAGUGAUCAACUACUGCUACACUAGGUGACUUAGCUGGAAAACUACGAGGUUUUAGGGGUGAAGCUGGUGCAAAAAGAACCGAAGAUGGGAACAUCGUGCAUGCUAAUCCUAAGACUACUGGGAUUACAUCUAUUAAUGCAGCUUCUACUCCCA